GUCCACGCCCUAAACGAUGGAUGCUAAACAUUGGGAGUUUCGACCCUCCCAGUGUUGUUCACUAAAGCUAACGCCUUAAGCAUCCCGCCUGGGGAGUACGAGCGCAAGCUUAAAACUCAAAGGAAUAGACGGGGACCCGCACAAGCGGUGGAGCGUGCGGUUUAAUUCGAUAAUAAGCGAAGAACCUUACCAAGGCUUGACAUCUAGCUGCAGAACCCUGGAAACAGGGUAGCCUUCGAGGGUGCUAGACAGAUGCUGCAUGGUUGUCGU
This 270-nucleotide ribosomal RNA is filed under the name uncultured bacterium. Its description in RNAcentral is "partial 16S ribosomal RNA". It matches the Rfam family "Bacterial small subunit ribosomal RNA", at positions 793 to 1055 of the family's 1533-position model. The record is from RNAcentral.